GCACUAAUGGUCCAAUGGUCAGGAUCCUUGCCUUCCAUGAGAUAGCAAGGGGUCGGCGUUCGAUUCGCCGUUAGUGCA
Non-coding RNA from Taxawa tesnikishii (nom. ined.), 78 nucleotides. Lineage: Eukaryota; Fungi; Ascomycota; Dothideomycetes; Dothideales. The record is from the annotation of a GenBank genome assembly.